Long non-coding RNA from Branchiostoma floridae (Florida lancelet), 350 nucleotides. RefSeq lists it as uncharacterized. NCBI's taxonomy places the organism in Eukaryota, Metazoa, Chordata, Leptocardii, Amphioxiformes, Branchiostomatidae. The transcript is spliced from 3 exons. The record is from RefSeq and is a predicted model, not a curated record.
CUCGAUGGGAACCACAGACCAGUGUCACUAGCAAAGUCUGCGAGGAGUGUUACUGACGAUCAUCUUGGCUGAUACCACACAAGAAUCAACCAAGAAAGGCAUGGCAGCUGCGCAGGUCAUCUGGCUGGCGCUAAUGCUUUUCCAGGCCGGACAAGGUGAUGGUUUUUUGACCAGAGACCUGAAUGGCUACCGAUAUUGGGCGCUCACAGAAGUCCAUAAUUAUGACGAGGCGGAAGCGAGGUGUGCGCGGUAUUUUCAAGGCCACCUUGCAAUUAUCAAAUCAUCUUCUCAGCAGAACCUACUGAAAGAAAUGGCACUGGUAGAUCACCGUUCACACUACUGGAUUGGAU